RNAcentral lists this ribosomal RNA (443 nucleotides) under uncultured bacterium. RNAcentral's name for it is "partial 16S ribosomal RNA". It matches the Rfam family "Bacterial small subunit ribosomal RNA", at positions 338 to 795 of the family's 1533-position model. The record is from RNAcentral.
CCUACGGGUGGCAGCAGUAGGGAAUCUUCCACAAUGGGCGAAAGCCUGAUGGAGCAACGCCGCGUGGGUGAAGAAGUAUUUCGGUAUGUAAAGCUCUAUCAGCAGGGAAGAAAGAAAUGACGGUACCUGACUAAGAAGCCCCGGCUAACUACGUGCCAGCAGCCGCGGUAAUACGUAGGGGGCAAGCGUUAUCCGGAUUUACUGGGUGUAACGGGAGCGUAGACGGCGAUGCAAGUCUGAAGUGAAAGGCGGGGGCCCAACCCCCGGACUGCUUUGGAAACUGUAUGGCUUGAGUGCAGGAGAGGUAAGUGGAAUUCCUAGUGUAGCGGUGAAAUGCGUAGAUAUUAGGAGGAACACCAGUGGCGAAGGCGGCUUACUGGACUGUAACUGACGUUGAGGCUCGAAAGCGUGGGGAGCAAACAGGAUUAGAUACCCCAGUAGUC